RNAcentral lists this ribosomal RNA (1321 nucleotides) under metagenome. RNAcentral's name for it is "bacterial LSU rRNA". It matches the Rfam family "Bacterial large subunit ribosomal RNA", at positions 1561 to 2925 of the family's 2925-position model. The record is from RNAcentral.
AGUGGAUGGGGAGCAACCUAGUUGUGCGUGUGUAAAGGUAGUGCCAAGAAAAGCGAUGAUCAUGUUGAAAAUCAAUUCCCGGUACCCGAAACCGACACAGGUGGGCAAGUAGAGAAUACUAAGGGGCGCGAGGUAACUCUCUCCAGGGAACUCGGCAAGAUGACCCCGUAACUUAGGGAGAAGGGGUGCCACCGAGAGGUGGUCGCAGUGAAGAGGCCCAGGCGACUGUUUAGCAAAAACAUAGGUCUCUGCAAACUCGAAAGAGGAGGUAUAGGGGCUGACGCCUGCCCAGUGCCGGAAGGUUAAAGAAGUUGGUCAGUUUUAGGAUGAAGCUAGCGACUGAAGCCCCGGUGAACGGCGGCCGUAACUAUAACGGUCCUAAGGUAGCGAAAUUCCUUGUCGGGUAAGUUCCGACCCGCACGAAAGGCGUAACGGUCUGGGCGCUGUCUCGGAGAGAGGCUCGGCGAAAUAGGAUUGUCUGUGAAGAUACGGACUACCUGCAUUUGGACAGAAAGACCCUAUGAAGCUUUACUAUAGCUUGGAAUUGUGUUCGGGCUUCCUGUGCGCAGGAUAGGUGGGAGGCGUAGAAGGUAUUCUUGUGGGGAUACUGGAGCCAACGGUGAGAUACCACUCUCAGGAGGCUAGAAUUCUAACUUAAUUAAGGACAGUUUCAGGUGGGUAGUUUGACUGGGGCGGUCGCCUCCAAAAAGGUAACGGAGGCGUACAAAGGUUCCCUCAGACUGGUUGGAAAUCAGUCGAAGAGUGCAAAGGCAGAAGGGAGCUUGACUGCGAGAAGUACAGUUCGAGCAGGGUGGAAACACGGUCUUAGUGAUCCGACGGUGCUGUGUGGAAGGGCCGUCGCUCAACGGAUAAAAGUUACUCUAGGAUAACAGGCUGAUCUCCCCCAAGAGUUCACAUCGACGGGGAGGUUUGGCACCUCGAUGUCGGCUCAUCGCAACCUGGGGCGGAAGUACGUCCCAAGGGUUGGGCUGUUCGCCCAUUAAAGCGGUACGUGAGCUGGGUUCAGAACGUCGUGAGACAGUUCGGUCCAUAUCCGAUGUAGGCGUGAGAAUAUUGAGAGGAGCCUUCCUUAGUACGAGAGGACCGGGAAGGACGCACCGCUGGUGUACCUGUUAUGAUGCCAAUUGUAAACGCAGGGUAGCCGAGUGCGGAGAGGAUAACCGCUGAAAGCAUCUAAGUGGGAAGCCCACCUCAAGAUGAGUAUUCUGGUGUAAGGUCACGGGAAGACGACCCGUAAAUAGGCACGAGGUGGAGGUGCAGAGAUGUAUGAAGCCGAAGUGUACUAAUAGACCGUCGGCUU